This 460-nucleotide ribosomal RNA is filed under the name uncultured bacterium. RNAcentral describes it as "partial 16S ribosomal RNA". It matches the Rfam family "Bacterial small subunit ribosomal RNA", at positions 338 to 795 of the family's 1533-position model. The record is from RNAcentral.
CCUACGGGAGGCAGCAGUGAGGAAUAUUGGUCAAUGGAGGCAACUCUGAACCAGCCAAGUAGCGUGCAGGAUGACGGCCCUAUGGGUUGUAAACUGCUUUUAUGCGGGGAUAAACUGAGUUACGUGUAGCUUUUUGCAGGUACCGUAUGAAUAAGUACCGGCUAAUCCCGUGCCAGCAGCCGCGGUAAUACGGAAGGUCCGGGCGUUAUCCGGAUUUAUUGGGUUUCAAGGGAGCGAAGGCCGCCCCUUAAGCGUGUUGUGAAAUGCCGCGGCUCAACCGGGGCCCUGCAGCGCGAACUGGGGGGCUUGAGUGCGCGGGAGGCAGGCGGAAUUCGUGGUGUAGCGGUGAAAUGCUUAGAUAUGACGAAGAACUCCGAUUGCGAAGGCAGCCUACCGUAGCGUAACUGACGCUGAGGCUCGAAAGUGCGGGUAUCGAACAGGAUUAGAUACCCCAGUAGUC